Molecule: long non-coding RNA, 162 nt
Filed under: Monodelphis domestica (gray short-tailed opossum)
Lineage: Eukaryota; Metazoa; Chordata; Mammalia; Didelphimorphia; Didelphidae
Description: lncRNA (ENSMODG00000037729.1)
Source: RNAcentral
UCGAACACAUGCGUGAACAUAUCUGAAGUCUUUUUUGUUGUUGGGACAUAAGAAAACAGCAGGAUGAAGUGAGGUCCUGAGGCAGACCCCUUCUCCAGUUUCCCUGCUGCCUGUUUUGAGGGGUCCUUGCUAGGGAGGAGGGGACCAUCAAUGUGCUAUUUU